This 253-nucleotide ribosomal RNA is filed under the name uncultured bacterium. RNAcentral describes it as "partial 16S ribosomal RNA". It matches the Rfam family "Bacterial small subunit ribosomal RNA", at positions 524 to 776 of the family's 1533-position model. The record is from RNAcentral.
UACGGGGGGGGCAAGCGUUGUUCGGAAUUACUGGGCGUAAAGGGUUCGUAGGUGGCUUGCUAAGUCAGACGUGAAAUCCCUCAGCUUAACUGGGGAACUGCGUCUGAGACUGGCAAGCUUGAGUGCAGGAGAGGAACGCGGAAUUCCAGGUGUAGCGGUGAAAUGCGUAGAUAUCUGGAGGAACACCGGUGGCGAAGGCGGCGUUCUGGACUGUAACUGACACUGAAGAACGAAAGCCAGGGGAGCAAACGGG